Phacochoerus africanus (Common warthog) is the source of this 1783-nucleotide long non-coding RNA. RefSeq lists it as uncharacterized. The record is from RefSeq and is a predicted model, not a curated record. NCBI's taxonomy places the organism in Eukaryota, Metazoa, Chordata, Mammalia, Artiodactyla, Suidae. The transcript has 2 exons.
CAUAUGCGGUAGGUGUGGCCAUAAGUCAAUCAAUCAAUAAAUAUUUAUUGACAUAGUUGGUUUACAAGAAACCCCUCGUUUUUAGAAGCAGAGUACCCUGGUGGCUCAGCAGGCUCUGGUCAUGGCUGAGGCUGGAGUUGGAUUCCUGGUGGGUAUGGCCCAAGAAAAUAAGAAAUGGAGACUGAGGCCCAGGCUUUUGGAGAUGGGCAGGGAUCUGUCCCCGAGCACUCCUGGGCCAAGGGUCUUGUGGGGGAUGGCUACCCACGACCUGUGACAGCCCCUCCCCUCUCCCAUCAGCAGGAGGCCAUCACCCUUUGGACGGAUGGAGGCCCCUCCUCGGAGGCCCCGCUGCUCCUGCUCCCAGAGCUGGCAGCUUCCCACCCCCGGCCACUCUCCUCCUCCAGAGCCGGGACUGGCUGGCUCCUGCCAAGACCGCCCACAGCCUGGCAGGCCGGGUGGGGGAGCACACACAUGCCCCCAGCCCAGCCUCAAGUUUCCUUUAGGUUCUAGGCGGUCUUCCUGGGAGAAACUGAGGUUCGGGGGGAGUCAGGGUCCCCCAGGGCCCCCCCCACCCCACGAGGUUCCGCGGGAGUUUCCAGACACACUUUGGAGGCUGGACCUCAGCGGGGUCUCCCCACCCCCUCUUUUCAGCUGUGAGAGUGGUGAAGGGGGGGCUGCUGGGCCUGGAGCCAUGGCUGGGGGUGGGGAAGGGGAGUUGGCAGGGGUCCGGGCAGGAGGCCUGGCUGGAGAGAGACCGGGCCCCUCCUGGUGCUCCCUCCUGCCUGCCUCGCCCCACUCCUCAGCCCCCCAUCCAUACCCGUGAUUGUCCCCGCAGCUCGGAGGGGCCCUGGGGCCCAGAGGGGCUGCCCAGGAGACCCUCUCUACGCCCCCCCUCCCCACCCUGGGAUGCACAGAGGAGGGUCUUAAGCUUUGCCCCCUCGGCUUUGCCCUGGGGGCCUGUCUGGGUGGUGUCUGACUUCCGAGUGAGGGAGGCCGCAAGUUUUCGAGGGUGGAGCAUUUUGCUGCCCUUGCUAAAGAUGGCCUGGGUGGUGUGUGUCACCUCACAGGCUCAAAGUUAGGCCUGUUUGUGGGUUGAGCAUGACAACUGCAAAGGGCAGAUUCGUGUGUGUGUGUGUGUGUGUGUGUGUGUGUGUGUGUGUGUGGUGGGGGCUGUGGGCUGGGCUGUGUCCCUAGGGGAUCGCCCGCUGUCAUGGACUUGCACUUAGGCGCUGGGAUCGCCAGAGCUGCCCCCCUCGCCCCCCCCACCCCCAUCCCAGACGUGCCCCUGCCCCUCCAUCAGCUCGUCUGAAAUACCUCUGAGCAUCUACUGAAUAGAGUGUAGGUUCCCCCGAUGGACGGGCCACCCCCAAGCCUGGAAAACGGACACCGCUCAACCUGUCCGACGGGCAGCUUCCUCACCUGCAGGGCAGACUUUCUGGACCUUGAUCCCUUUAAGUCCCGGGAGGCUUGUCAGGCUCUCUCAACUGUGUCCCAAGUGCCAGAGCAGCAGUCAGAGGCCCUGCUGGAUGGAUGGACGGAGGGCCCCAAGCUCAGGACCCAGGCUCCGUCACUCACUCAUCCCCACAGCUCCGACAACUGCACCCGGGCUGGAGGCUGGGAAACUGAGGCUCACCAGCUGAAAACCUUGCCCAGGGCCCAGGGCAACAUCUAACUCUCAGACGCCCAAGGGACUUGGCCUCCCUGGACUCCCUCCUCCUUUUAAACAAAAAAAGAAAUUCCUAUUUUACUGCUACAUCAGUAUAAAGAAGAAUAUAGUAAGAAA